Canis lupus familiaris (dog) is the source of this 1667-nucleotide long non-coding RNA. RefSeq lists it as uncharacterized. The transcript has 4 exons. Lineage: Eukaryota; Metazoa; Chordata; Mammalia; Carnivora; Canidae. The record is from RefSeq and is a predicted model, not a curated record.
GACUCUGGGGACUGUCUUAGCUAUCUUUCGUUUCAUCCUUCAAAUUCUGUUGUUUUUCUUUUCAAUGGGGAUUUAUUUCUUUAUGGAAUUCAAGAGGAUUUACAUGUCUAACAAGGACUAAUAUAUCUGAAGGGAACUGAACACCUAGGUGUCUGACAGAUUACAACUAUAGGCAAAAAAUACCAUUGACAUUGAAAAGCUCACCACCUAUAUUGUCUGGUGGCAUAGUUAUUCUCUGGCCUGCAUUAUGGAGGCCAAAGCAACAUUAGCCUAAACUAUACUCACCAAGUAUAGUGAAAUUAAGCCAGGGCUCUUAUCAAACCAAGCCAGAAGUUUUCCUCACUCUUUUAUAUUUCUUUCUAAUUUUGCUGAGCUACCUAGAAAUUUAUUUUAAGAGGUUGUUUCUUCGUGGGCUCAUGAACAUUACUUUUCAGACAACUUUAUAAAAGCUGUCUGAAUUCAACAAAUAUUAGAUAAUUAUUCUUUGAAUAUCAAUUACAGACCCAUCACUAUGUCAAGCCAAUAAGAUUCCAAGGGUUUCUUUCACAUGUACCAAUGUGCCUGGCUUCUGAUAAAUUUAUUCUAGAUUUCCUUUAAUUUACAGUCUUCUCCUAGUGAAAGCCUGUCAGCUUAAUUUAUUUUUUGCUCGGUGAAAGUGAUUUACCCCACUGAAGGACAGUUGCUUUAACUGAGAACUUUCAUGCUUGAGUAGAGGAAACAACAAACUAUAGGUUCCAUUUUAAAGUAGUUGCACUAUUUUGCACUCCCAUCAGCAAUCAAGUGUGGAUGAUGUGAUGUUGGAGAAGCGGGCUAGGAAUCAGAUACUUCAAGCCUGGGGCUUCUGCUUUCUGCUGAGAUAGAUAACAAGGUCAUUAGUGAAUAGAGAACAGUGGGUGUGGAAUUCGUGUCUUGAGGGCAGCAGGAAGUGUUGGGAAUGCUGAAGAAGGAGCAGAGCAACAAGAGAAAUCAUGCCAGUUUCUUGCCACAGAAUGAGAUUCAAGAUGAUGGAAACACCUCUCAAAUAUUCCAUGACCCUAAAUCAAAGGUUAGCUCUGAAAAGAUGAUCUUCCUCAUGAAAGCUAGACAUCUAAGAAGCCAAAUCUUCUUGAUCAGGCUGACCACCUCAAAGGUUCCCAAUUAACAGAAUCCUGCAGUCCUCUACUUCACUUUAGCCAUUCAGAUGGAACUUAAAGAAAGACUCUUGGAAGUAUAAUUGCAGAAAAUAAAAAUAAAACUGAGGACCUAAAAUUAUAGGCAAAUUAGAAAAUUGUGAAUUUUAAUAAUGUGAGGCAUUCUUUACAGGGAAGAAGGCUUUCAGCAAAAGAAGAGCGCUAGCACCUAUGCAGAGUGGAGUUGCUGCUCAGGGCAGCUGGCUACAGUCCUCUGCUGUAGACACUUGCUCCUGAUUACAUGAGAGCACACAUAUCACAAUGCAGCUUGACUGUCUACCAGGAAGUAGAACAUUCCACCUAUUCUAUGCGUGAGGCAGGCUUGAUUCUCACAAGGGCACUUGCUCUAAGACCAUCAGUCACAUCCCUAAGUCUGUUGUAAUGGCCCCACUUUAACCCUGAACCCGCCAAGACCCCUGAGGAGACUGAUUAUGCAGCUCAGUCCAGAACACAUGCAACAUAUUGUGCCCCCCAAAGCCACAAAACCAUCAGGAAUUA